Molecule: ribosomal RNA, 932 nt
Filed under: Salmonella enterica
Lineage: Bacteria; Pseudomonadati; Pseudomonadota; Gammaproteobacteria; Enterobacterales; Enterobacteriaceae
Description: partial 23S ribosomal RNA
Rfam family: Bacterial large subunit ribosomal RNA
Source: RNAcentral
AUAAUGGGUCAGCGACUUAUAUUCUGUAGCAAGGUUAACCGUAUAGGGGAGCCGGAGGGAAACCGAGUCUUAACCGGGCGUUAAGUUGCAGGGUAUAGACCCGAAACCCGGUGAUCUAGCCAUGGGCAGGUUGAAGGUUGGGUAACACUAACUGGAGGACCGAACCGACUAAUGUUGAAAAAUUAGCGGAUGACCUGUGGCUGGGGGUGAAAGGCCAAUCAAACCGGGAGAUAGCUGGUUCUCCCCGAAAGCUAUUUAGGUAGCGCCUCGUGAAUUCAUCUCCGGGGGUAGAGCACUGUUUCGGCUAGGGGGCCAUCCCGGCUUACCAACCCGAUGCAAACUGCGAAUACCGGAGAAUGUUAUCACGGGAGACACACGGCGGGUGCUAACGUCCGUCGUGAAGAGGGAAACAACCCAGACCGCCAGCUAAGGUCCCAAAGUCAUGGUUAAGUGGGAAACGAUGUGGGAAGGCCCAGACAGCCAGGAUGUUGGCUUAGAAGCAGCCAUCAUUUAAAGAAAGCGUAAUAGCUCACUGGUCGAGUCGGCCUGCGCGGAAGAUGUAACGGGGCUAAACCAUGCACCGAAGCUGCGGCAGCGACGCUGAUGCGUUGUUGGGUAGGGGAGCGUUCUGUAAGCCUGCGAAGGUGGCCUGUGAGGGUUGCUGGAGGUAUCAGAAGUGCGAAUGCUGACAUAAGUAACGAUAAAGCGGGUGAAAAGCCCGCUCGCCGGAAGACCAAGGGUUCCUGUCCAACGUUAAUCGGGGCAGGGUGAGUCGACCCCUAAGGCGAGGCCGAAAGGCGUAGUCGAUGGGAAACGGGUUAAUAUUCCCGUACUUGGUGUUACUGCGAAGGGGGGACGGAGAAGGCUAUGUUGGCCGGGCGACGGUUGUCCCGGUUUAAGCGUGUAGGUGUGUGUUCCAGGUAAAUCCGGUU